This is a long non-coding RNA of Octopus sinensis (East Asian common octopus), 285 nucleotides long. RefSeq lists it as uncharacterized. Lineage: Eukaryota; Metazoa; Mollusca; Cephalopoda; Octopoda; Octopodidae. The transcript has 3 exons. The record is from RefSeq and is a predicted model, not a curated record.
UUUCUCUUGGAAUAAUUGAGGGUGGCACAAAAUUUACCAGGAAGAAUCAACCAGUAACUUUUGAAUGUCCUGUUGAAAAGCAAAACUUUAAACACUGGCAAAUGAUGAUGGAACAGUCAUUAACAGAAUUUAUAAUACUUAAGCAUUAAAGCAAAUGUGUUUCCUAACAAUGUCAGCAUCAUAAACAUCACACUUCUUGAAAAUAAUGAGCAAGCAAUUGUUUGUGAAAUCACCACUGAUAAGAUAAGAUUUUAUGCAAGACCAUUAUUCAAUGUCAUUGGGAAU